Molecule: ribosomal RNA, 527 nt
Filed under: Epicoccum sp. MLN5
Lineage: Eukaryota; Fungi; Ascomycota; Dothideomycetes; Pleosporales; Didymellaceae
Description: eukaryotic LSU rRNA
Rfam family: 5.8S ribosomal RNA (bases 189-342)
Source: RNAcentral
AAGCGUAACAAGGUUUCCGUAGGUGAACCUGCGGAAGGAUCAUUACCUAGAGUUUGCAGACUUCGGUCUGCUACCUCUUACCCAUGUCUUUUGAGUACCUUCGUUUCCUCGGCGGGUCCGCCCGCCGGUUGGACAACAUUCAAACCCUUUGCAGUUGCAAUCAGCGUCUGAAAAAACAUAAUAGUUACAACUUUCAACAACGGAUCUCUUGGUUCUGGCAUCGAUGAAGAACGCAGCGAAAUGCGAUAAGUAGUGUGAAUUGCAGAAUUCAGUGAAUCAUCGAAUCUUUGAACGCACAUUGCGCCCCUUGGUAUUCCAUGGGGCAUGCCUGUUCGAGCGUCAUUUGUACCUUCAAGCUCUGCUUGGUGUUGGGUGUUUUGUCUCGCCUCUGCGUGUAGACUCGCCUUAAAACAAUUGGCAGCCGGCGUAUUGAUUUCGGAGCGCAGUACAUCUCGCGCUUUGCACUCAUAACGACGACGUCCAAAAGUACAUUUUUACACUCUGACCUCGGAUCAGUAGCUCCAAUA